GGGCCCGCACAAGCGGUGGAGUAUGUGGUUUAAUUCGAUGCAACGCGAAGAACCUUACCAGGGUUUGACAUCCUGCGAAUCUCUUGGAAACGAGAGAGUGCCUUCGGGAGCGCAGUGACAGGUGGUGCAUGGCUGUCGUCAGCUCGUGUCGUGAGAUGUUGGGUUAAGUCCCGCAACGAGCGCAACCCACGUCUUUAGUUGCCAGCAUUUAGUUGGGCACUCUAGCCAGACUGCCGGUGCAAACCGCGAGGAAGGUGGGGAUGACGUCAAAUCAUCACGGCCCUUACGUCCUGGGCUACACACGUGCUACAAUGCUACGGACAAAGGGCAGCAAGUUCGCGAGGACAAGCAAAUCCCAUAAACCGUGGCUCAGUUCAGAUCGUAGGCUGCAACUCGCCUACGUGAAGGCGGAAUCGCUAGUAAUCG
RNAcentral lists this ribosomal RNA (426 nucleotides) under uncultured bacterium. RNAcentral's name for it is "bacterial SSU rRNA". It matches the Rfam family "Bacterial small subunit ribosomal RNA", at positions 917 to 1344 of the family's 1533-position model. The record is from RNAcentral.